This 826-nucleotide ribosomal RNA is filed under the name uncultured bacterium. RNAcentral describes it as "bacterial SSU rRNA". It matches the Rfam family "Bacterial small subunit ribosomal RNA", at positions 8 to 811 of the family's 1533-position model. The record is from RNAcentral.
AGAGUUUGAUCAUGGCUCAGAACGAACGCUGGCGGCGUGCUUAAUACAUGCAAGUCGUGCGUGAAAGAGGAGCAAUCCUCGAGUAAAGCGGCAAACGGGUGAGUAACACGUAAGUAAUCUACCUCCAAAUCCGGGAUAACCUUGCCAACGCGGGGCUAAUACCGGAUGUGGUCCCAUGGUUCAUGAUUGUGGGAUUAAAGAUGACCUCUAUUUAUAAGUUAUCGCUUGGAGAUGAGCUUGCGGCCCAUUAGCUAGUUGGCGGGGUAAUAGCCCACCAAGGCUGUGAUGGGUAGCCGGCCUGAGAGGGUGUACGGCCACAUUGGGACUGAGAAACGGCCCAGACUCCUUCGGGAGGCAGCAGUAGGGAAUUUUGCGCAAUGGACGAAAGUCUGACGCAGCAACGCCGCGUGAGUGAUGAAGGUCUUCGGAUUGUAAAGCUCUGUUGAAUGGGAAGAAAAGUUUCAGGUACAAUAUGCCUGGAACCUGACGGUACCGUUCGAGGAAGCCCCGGCUAACUACGUGCCAGCAGCCGCGGUAAUACGUAGGGGGCAAGCGUUGUUCGGAAUUACUGGGCGUAAAGGGAGCGUAGGCGGGUCAGUAAGUUAGAAGUUUAAUGCACAGGCUUAACCUGUGACUUGCUUUUAAUACUGCUAAUCUUGAGUAUGGAAGAGGGAGAUGGAAUUCCAGGUGUAGCGGUGGAAUGCGUAGAUAUCUGGAAGAACACCAUUAGCGAAGGCGGUCUCCUGGUCCAAUACUGACGCUGAGGCUCGAAAGCUAGGGGAGCAAACAGGAUUAGAUACCCUGGUAGUCCUAGCUGUAAACUAUG